Molecule: ribosomal RNA, 253 nt
Filed under: uncultured bacterium
Lineage: Bacteria
Description: partial 16S ribosomal RNA
Rfam family: Bacterial small subunit ribosomal RNA
Source: RNAcentral
GACAGAGGUGCCAAGCGUUAGGCGGAAUCACUGGGCUUAAAGCGUGUGUAGGCGGAUCGUUAAGUACCUUGUGAAAUCCCACGGCUCAACCGUGGAACUGCUGGGUAUACUGGCGAUCUUGAGCCACCUAGGGGCGAGCGGAACAAGCGGUGGAGCGGUGAAAUGCGUAGAUAUCGCUUGGAACGCCAAUGGUGAAAACAGCUCGCUGGGGGUGUGCUGACGCUGAGACAUGAAAGCCAGGGGAGCGAACGGG